GUCUUUUCGAAGUUAAUGAGAAGUCAGGCCUGCUCAGUGAGUUUAAAUAGCCGCGGUAUUUUGACCGUGCUAAGGUAGCAUAAUCAAUAGUCUAUUAAAUGUGGUCUGGAAUGAAGGGUCAGACGGGGAGUAACUAUCUUAAGCUUAUGGAUGAAAUUUAAUUAUUAGUCAAAAUGCUAAUAUAGAUUAGAGGGACGAGAAGACCCUAUAGAGCUUUAUACUUUUAUAGAUGAUGGAAGGAGUUAUUAAGAGUAUUUUGUUGGGGCGACAUAGAAUAUAAACAUUUUAUAUUAUUCUUAUAUAAAAGGAUAUUGAUCCAUUAUUAGUGAUUAUAGGCUAAGUUACCUUAGGGAUAACAGCGUAAUCUUAUUUUAGAGUUCAUAUCGAUAAUAGGGUUUGCGACCUCGAUGUUGGAUUAGAAGUCCCCUAAUGCGCAGAAGUUUUAAGGGGUAGUCUGUUCGACUAUUAAAUUUCUACAUGAUCU
Molecule: ribosomal RNA, 484 nt
Filed under: Otostigmus sulcipes
Lineage: Eukaryota; Metazoa; Arthropoda; Chilopoda; Scolopendromorpha; Scolopendridae
Description: partial 16S ribosomal RNA
Rfam family: Bacterial large subunit ribosomal RNA
Source: RNAcentral